RNAcentral lists this long non-coding RNA (455 nucleotides) under Capsicum annuum. RNAcentral describes it as "long non-coding RNA (CANN_LNC010826)". Lineage: Eukaryota; Viridiplantae; Streptophyta; Magnoliopsida; Solanales; Solanaceae. The record is from RNAcentral.
UACUUUUCUAACUCCGACAAUCACCUUCACCAUAAACAGCCCCACCUCUUUAAUAUUUAUGUUAAAUUCGAACACCUCGAGCUUGCGUUGAUUUCAAUUGUUUAAAUUUACAAGCCAUUAAAGUAGAGCACAGUGGUGUCAAUUUGAAAAGGGUUCUUUGAUUUGAAUUUUAAUGUGCAAAAUUAAUGUUGAUCUUUAUAUUUUUAAUGUUUUACUAUUUUUAGCGGAGCUUUACCGUGAAACUUUCUGAUUUGAUUACAUUUGUGAAUAUGAAAAACUUGGAAUGAAAUUGAAAUUGGAAGGGAGUUUAGUUUGAUUAUCUUUGUGGUUAUGAACAAUUGGAAUGGAAAUGGAAUUAGAGGAAAUUCGUUAGCGGGGAUAAAAAAAUAUGGUGUGUUAAUGGUGGUGGUAAUGUGUUAAUGGUGGCAAUGUUAAAAUAUACAUAGAGAAUGAAU